This is a long non-coding RNA of Strongylocentrotus purpuratus (purple sea urchin), 3470 nucleotides long. RefSeq annotates it as E3 ubiquitin-protein ligase Hakai. The record is from RefSeq and is a predicted model, not a curated record. The transcript is spliced from 5 exons. NCBI's taxonomy places the organism in Eukaryota, Metazoa, Echinodermata, Echinoidea, Camarodonta, Strongylocentrotidae.
UAUUCAUGAUAUCCGAGUUAUCCGACAGACCCGCGGCGUAGCAGUUGACAAGCGUGCACUUUACAAAGAAUUCAGUGGAAUUAAAUUCAUUUGAACCUCUAGACUGCUGUGAAAAAGACUUUUGCAUCAUUUAUUGCAGAGGGCUACAUAAUAGGUCAACCAAGUUCAAGAAGCGCCGAACAGGAGUCUCUCUGCUUGCAGUCAUGGACUCACAUAGUGAGAUGUAUCCUCAACGGUUUGCUAUGCAUCGAAACACCCCACUAAAGUGGGACUACAAGAUGAAUCUGGUCGGCAGAAAGGAUCAAGAUCCCAAACUUCACAACUGUGAGAAAUGCAGCUUUCCUAUCAUGGCAUAUGGCAGAAUGAUUCCAUGCAAACAUGUGUUUUGCUUUGACUGUGCCAAGGCCACGGACAAGAGUUGUUUACGAUGUGAAGACCCUGUACAGCGAAUAGAGCAGUCUCCUCUUGGUAGCAUAUUUCUCUGCGCCUAUGGAGCCCCAAAGCAUUGCCAUACAGGAUGUCGCAGAACUUAUCUCUCACACAGGGAUCUCUUGGCCCACAUCAACCAUCGUCAUACUCCAAAACCUCCUAGUCAGGUAGUAUCAUCAACCACUUCAAGUGGACCUAAGGACCAAGGCCAUAGUACAAUGUCCAGAAUGACCGAUCCAAGAUCCGAUUCCAGGAGUGACCCGCGUAGUCACCAGUCGUAUGUUUCAUCUCACCAGGAUGGAUACCCUGGCCCCACUCCAGCACAGACUUCUCAUAUCAUGCCAGAGCAGAUGCAGUAUGAGCCACGCUCAUCGGAGGGGGCGAGCAGCCAAAGUGGACCUGAGGAUUACCAUGUCAAUGUGCCAGUCAGGAAGUCAAAUCUCAUCACUGUCCCUCUGCAUGACAGUAGCAAAGACUACCAGCAGUCGUCUCAGGUCCAUGGUGCAGUUGUGUCCUACCCAUCACAAGCUCCAAUAGUCCCUGUCCAGCAACAGCAUCAAGGCCCACCUCCGCCCCCUCCACCACAACAUGUGGCCUACCCUCAACAUCUUCCUCCAUCGACUGGUUCCCAUGUACCUAUCUCUCACCCACCCCCAGUCUCUGGUUCAUACACAGGGCCACCGAUCAGUGUACACCAAGUGAUGCACAUCAUGCAUCCACAACAAGCCCCAGUCUACAGUCAGGGAGGUGUCCCACCGCCCAGAAUGAACCAGCCCCACUAUGACAAUGCCCAACGACCUUCUUUCCAAUCCACACCCCUCCCUGGGGGGAAUGCACCAUUCCCAGCCCCUGGUGUACCAAGAUGGCCAGUUGGUCCUCCUCCUACUUCCAGUAUGCCCCCUCCUCCACAAACUAACAUGCCACCCCCACCACCCCCAUCUCAAGUUCCAACCAUGGUUAACCAGGUACCCUCCAUGCCACCUCCACAGGCUCCACCAGGUGCUAGGCCUGAGAUGGGACCUCCGCCCCCUCCUAUGGGACCUCCAAUGACUGAAGCACCUCGCUAUCACGGCCAGUACUUCUCAUGAGAGAACACUGAUGCACAGAACAUCAUGAUUGUCAUGCCCUUUUAAAAAAAAAUUGUCAUCAAUGCUGUGUAAAUACUAAAUAGUUUUGAUUUUUGUCAGUCAGCUGAAAAAAUAACUGUGUUAUUGAUGCUUUACUUAUCUAUUGCUAGCUUAACUCCAAAAAAGUAAAUGAGUGCCAUGCAUUCAAUUAUAUCAACUUAAAGCCUGUGUUCCAUCUACAGAAUGCUUUCUUAAUCAUGAGCAUACUUGUUUCAAUUGUCUUAGUUGUAUAAUUUGUUUAAUUUUUUUUUUUAGAGUAGGGGGGGGGGGGGGGAGGAUAAAAUUGCAGAACAGAUAGCCAUUAUAACAAUCAUAGCAAGGGUAGUACAAACUAAUAUAUUUAUUUGAUGAAAUCAAGAAAGAACAUGACAUCUCAACUUAAAAAAAAAAGACAUAACAUCAAAUGCCUAAUAACAGAUGUCCUUUUUUUUUAGUAAUGAUCAUGGUGUUAACAUAAAUAGAUAAACUACCGGUAUGAAGGUUCAUUAGGUAAUUUAAUUAAUGGAUCAUUCUGUGUUGUUCACGUUUUUGCUUCAAGCCAAGUGUAUUUUAAUAAUAUGUACUUGUAUUAUACUGGGAUCCAAUUAUACGGCAUCGUUUAGCUUUGAUACGCCAUGGUGCUCUUUUUUGCUCAUGAUGAAGUUAUAAAUGCAAUGUCCACAGCACUCAAUCAAGAUCUCCAUCUUUGUAUCUAGUUUUUUUGUUCAUUGUGCAUAAGCUGGCACCAGGUCUGUAACAUAAGUAUUUUUCACAAAAUAUGUUGCCGUUUCUGACUGCAAAAUAUUACUAGAUGAGUUCCAUGCAAGCCGAUACUUAUAAGCAGCAUGUAGAUAAGUUCUAUUGAUAAUACAGAGGAAUUGAAAAACCAUAAAUGAUAACUCUUGUGUUCGAGAUAAAAUUUCAUUUCUUUUAGAGCAAUAUUUCAUUUGAUGUUACACGCAGUUUCAAGCCAUGAAAUUAACAUGAAAUGUUAAUUCAUGUGUUCUCUAAUGUCUAGUGUAUAUUUUAUUUAUUUUUUUGCAUUCUUUUAAAGAUAGCUACAAUUUGGAUCAUGUGCAUUUACAAUUGAUACCCUUACCAAGUUUUGUAUUUUUUUAAGUAUGCACAAAAAUGAUUUGGCCCAGUUUAUGUUUUUUGAGAAUGUGACAUAUUAAAGCUUACAUCUAAAAGUAUUCAACAAAAGCCCUAAUUCAACCAAUCCACCUUUCAUUCUUGAGUUACGAAAAACACAAACAACAUCAAGUUUACAAGGGGUGUGAGUGGUUCAGUUGUUAACUGUAUACAUGUAUGUGAAUUAGUUUACUUCUGCUUAUGAAGGAGUGUUUGUGUAGUCCUUGUAUGGGCAAGCCCAAGUUGUUGUGUCCCAAACUUUACCAAGUACCGGUAUUAUAAUUUUUUGUUUUAUUUGUCACAUAGUGAAUUUGUUGAUUAUUACAAGAGAAAGCAUGCAAAAAUGAACAUUCAAGCCUAGGCUACUGUCUGAAUACACAGGAUAGUACAAGGUGAAAAAAUAAAACACAUAAUCAUACAUUUACCAAAAAUAACCCCGGAUAAACAUACAAUUGACAAAAUACAACCAACAUGUCGUAUAUAAUCACUAAGUAAGUUUGGGAACUUGGAACAUAGACAUUUCUGGAAAAAUAUGUAUUUUGAGAUAUCAAACGCUUCUAUUGUAUGUAUGUCAUUGUAUGACAGAAAUAGGAACAGUUUUGAAAUGUCAAUUUAAUGGAACGUCUGUUUUUUGUGGUUGAAUCAUUUGUAAAGACAAAGCUUAUCAAGUAUUUGGGAUUAUACAUGUAUAUAUCUGUUGGUGAUUUAAGAUUACUGAAUGUACCGGUAGUCUCAUCAAGUAAAACCAUUUAAGCAACAGUCAGUACCUUGAUUAAAACUAAAUGCAGAAUUAUUUGACCAAAU